UUGAUACAGCUCCACAUAUACCAACAGCAUUACAUACUACACGGGAUAACAAAGUUAUUAUAAGUACAGUUGAAGCGGGAAGAGACUGGCUUCCAAUUGACGAACUGUGUAAGGUUGAAAUUUUAGUUAUCACAGCAAAAUGUGAAGUUAUUUUUCGUUUUCUGUUCAAUAAAGAUUUGUUCUAUUUUCCUAAUAAAAUAACGUCGAUCGGUACAGACAUAUGUAUUGUAGAUUCCAUUUCUGAUUAUUCUGGAAGAUUAGUUACGCUGAACAAUAAAGGAAAGGUGAAAUGGACUUAUGGAUAUAAUGAGACAAAUUCUGGUAUUAUAGCAGAUGUGGUAGCCACGCCUUUAAACAAUAUCGUAUUAUUGGACCCAUUCCAUGGUGUGCUUCGGGUUCUUGAUUCCAAGGGGACUUGUAUUAAAACAUUGGGAUUGCGAGGCUUUAAAAUAACUGAUGCGUGUGCUAUGACUAUAUCGAAUGAUGAAAAAAUAUUUAUAGGAUGCGGACA
RNAcentral lists this long non-coding RNA (511 nucleotides) under Mytilus galloprovincialis (Mediterranean mussel). The record is from RNAcentral. Lineage: Eukaryota; Metazoa; Mollusca; Bivalvia; Mytilida; Mytilidae.